CUGAACAAGAAUUUACAUGUUUUCCAGCCUUUUGAGAAGUAGUACACUUUAUGAAAGAUUUUCUUCUGCUGUGAUUGACAAAUGUUCUUUUUCAGUAGAGUGAGAAAAAAUUACCUUUAAGGCCAGAGGGAAUCAUUUAAUAAGUGCUUAAGGGCAAGAGAUGAAGAUGAGAUGUUUGCUACAGAAGAAACAGGAAAAUCCAAAUAGGAGAGAAAUGAACACUGCCUUCAAUAGCAGCUCAGUUGGUGGGAGUGCAGGAUAUGUGAAGAAGGAUAAGAGGUACUGGAGGCUAGAGCUUCAAGACAGAUUCAGUGUUGCUGCCCAGGUGAAUCUACACUACAUCUGCUGUUGGCAUUUUCACCUUUUAAUCCAGCAACAAGUUGAGGUUGAAGUCAGUGACAAUGGAGAAAGCCCAAUCUCUAACUGGAACAGGUACUAACAGCCUAUAAUGACUUUUUAUUAUUCUUGCAUUCCCCUUUGCUGAUUCCUUUACAAUG
RNAcentral lists this long non-coding RNA (497 nucleotides) under Zonotrichia albicollis (white-throated sparrow). Its description in RNAcentral is "lncRNA (ENSZALG00000015785.1)". The record is from RNAcentral. Lineage: Eukaryota; Metazoa; Chordata; Aves; Passeriformes; Passerellidae.